AUAACAUACAAGGAGGUUAGUUUUUUUAUAAUCUUGUUUUAAGCUCUAUUAUGUGGGGCCAUAGUGUCAUUAACCUAAGGCUAACUUUUUCCUUCACUACUGAGGCAAAACUUUCUGAGUACUUAAUGCUCCCUGAAUUCUGACAUUUUCCACUCAGGUUUGUGGGUGUAGGAGUAAUGUACGAGUCCGACUCUUGUACUAUUAGCCUUUCUGAUAGCUCUUUCCCUGAUUGAGAGCUCUUCCCACAGACAUGUGCUGACAGUGCUCAGCUGAAGACCCAUUGAGGACUCCUUGAAGUUCUCUCGGCAGCUCUCCCCUCUAUGGUCCUUGCUUCAUGAACUCAAGCUUGCCUUAAUCCUGCCUCCCACCUCUCUCUCCUUAGCUGAGAGAGACUGCCAGUCUUUGAGUAGUGACUUUUUCCUGGGCUGAGGGUUUGUCUCAGUAAGCUGGAGCAGUCUUAAGUCUUACUUUGUGUGUUUCUCUUCUCUCAAGGAUCACUCAGUUUUCUUGCCCAGUGUCCAGUGUUUUAUAAGCCAGGGAAUCAUAUCUUUUUUGUUUUUAAAAUUCAUUUUAGGCAGGAUGGUAAAUCUGGUCUCUGGUACUCCAUCUUGGCCAGAAAAGGAAGUUUGAACAUAGGUUCUUGUGGCUUCAUUUAAAAAAAGACUUUUACCUACACGAUUUUGUUCUCUUUUAUUGCUGAGUAAAAUUCUGUUGUGUAUAUAUGCCACAUUUUUGUUAUCCAUUCAUCCACUGAAGGGCAUCUAGGUUGGCUCCACAGUUUAGAUAUUGUGAAUUGUGCUGCUAUAAUGCUAAGUGAAGUUAGCCAAUCCCCCCAAAAAACUAAUGCUGAAUGUUUUCUCUGAUAUAAGAAGGCUGACUCAUAGUGGGGUAGGGAAGGGGAG
RNAcentral lists this long non-coding RNA (902 nucleotides) under Marmota monax (woodchuck). Lineage: Eukaryota; Metazoa; Chordata; Mammalia; Rodentia; Sciuridae. The record is from RNAcentral.